This 840-nucleotide long non-coding RNA is filed under the name Homo sapiens (human). Its description in RNAcentral is "HSALNT0068267". Lineage: Eukaryota; Metazoa; Chordata; Mammalia; Primates; Hominidae. The record is from RNAcentral.
CCAUGAUGGUUUUGAGGCCCUGGGCCUCAAGUUUGUUUUGCUUCAGCCCAAGGUAAACAUGCCUGUUUAAUUUAUGGAGAAACAUCUGCAGAGUCCAGUUUUAUGGCUUGUUCUUUGAAACGAUCACUUCGGAUACAUAAAAAAUGAGGUCAGUAACAUUGAGUCCCAAAGCAAAGAGCCGGCCUUUCCGGGCUCACCACGUAGCUUCCUCCCCGGCCCUGCUCAUGGCCCUGCCUGGCUGUCUCCUCUGCCUGGAGGCCUCUCACUCACCUUUAGGGUGGGCUCCUGGCAGGGCAGGGUGGCCUGAGGGGCCUUAGGGAGGAUUUAGGGGUGAACACCCAAGAUCCCGGGUCCAUGAGAUUCCUGGAGCCAGGAGAAGGUGGCUUCACCACUCAAUUCAGUCAUAGGGACCAGCCAGGCCCAGUCCCACAGAUGAGGAGUCCUGGAGGGUCCUAGGCCUGGUAAGGGUGGUCCUGGUUCUACAGGGGGUCCCCUGGAGAGUCCCGUGAGUACUUGGGGGAGAUCCCCUGGUGGGCAAAGCAGCCCACGAGGGAAGCACCUCAGCCACACCCCUCCCUGGUCAGCUCAGGUCCUCAGGAAGCAGAUGCUGAGCGGACCUGGGGCAUGCGACAGGUGACAGUAAUGCCCAGAAGAGAUGGGGCGUCAGGAGUCACCCGACUGGCCUGAAAAUCUGAUGGCACCUCCAGCGCCACGGCGAGCUCUGGGGCCAGGGCCACCUGCUGCAGGGACCACGGGUUGAGUGGCAACAUCCAGGCCCCAGCCACUUGCAUCUCAGCCACUGGAAAGAGACACACUUCUGCCCACUGAGAAGGUCCUCGG